GACGAACGCUGGCGGCGUGCUUAACACAUGCAAGUCGAACGGAAAGGCCCUGCUCUUGUGGGGUGCUCGUGUGGCGAACGGGUGUGUAACACGUGUGUCAUCUGCCCUUGACUUUGGGAUAUCUUCAGGAAACUGGGGCUAAUACCGGAUAGGAGCUCCUGCUGCAUGGUGGGGGGUGGAAAUUUUCGGCGGUGGGGGGUGGACUCGCGGCUUAUCAGCUUGUUGGUGGGGUAGUGGCUCACCAAGGCUUUGACGGGUAGCGGGCUUGGGAGGUUGACCGGCAACAUGGGACCGGGAUACGGGCCAGGCUCCCUCCGGAGGCAGGAGUGGGGAAUAAUGGACAAUGGGUCGGAGGCCGGUGCAGGCACGGCGGCGGGGGGGAUGACGGCCUUCGGUUUGAAACCGGUUUCCGCCUGUGACGAGCCGUGUGUGACGGUAGUGGGUAAAGAAGCACCGGCUAACUACGUG
Molecule: ribosomal RNA, 468 nt
Filed under: uncultured bacterium
Lineage: Bacteria
Description: partial 16S ribosomal RNA
Rfam family: Bacterial small subunit ribosomal RNA
Source: RNAcentral